This is a long non-coding RNA of Zingiber officinale, 489 nucleotides long. RefSeq lists it as uncharacterized. The transcript has 2 exons. Lineage: Eukaryota; Viridiplantae; Streptophyta; Magnoliopsida; Zingiberales; Zingiberaceae. The record is from RefSeq and is a predicted model, not a curated record.
UAUUUGUUUGAUUUCUGUGUGUUGGAUUUUUAAGAUUUAUCUGAUACCAAUUUAUUGGUAUCAGAGCAGGUUAUGAUACCUGCUUUUGAUAUUCUGGAUAUUUUGUGUUAGCCCAAGUUUGCGAGGCAAACUAGGUAUUUGUUUCGGAUGUUAGUAUGGAUUUCCGGUGAUUUCCUUGUACGAAUUUCCGUUAUGGUUAUAUUUCGGAUUUCCGUUUCGGAUUUGUAUAGAUUCCCGACGAUUUACUCGUUCGGAAUUUUGAGGUCAGAAGUUGGGGACUGGACAGCGAUGGAACAUCUCUAGAUGGCAUAUAGGUUGAUGAUGUCAGGAGAGAGUUCCAGUCGCUAGUCCCCUGCUGACCACGAGGGCUUACUAAUCUUUUGGUUUUCUUCUUUAUUAGUUUAUGUUCAGACUUAUUCUGUUUUUGAUACUAUGAAUUUUUGAUAUUAUGGAUCUGGUAUGAAUUUUAUGUGUCGAUGGUUUUUAGUU